This 72-nucleotide ribosomal RNA is filed under the name Pseudoselenomonas ruminantium. Its description in RNAcentral is "Selenomonas ruminantium 16S rRNA. Bacterial SSU". It matches the Rfam family "Bacterial small subunit ribosomal RNA", at positions 1 to 70 of the family's 1533-position model. The record is from RNAcentral. Lineage: Bacteria; Bacillati; Bacillota; Negativicutes; Selenomonadales; Selenomonadaceae.
AUUUUAUGGAGAGUUUGAUCCUGGCUCAGGACGAACGCUGGCGGCGUGCUUAACACAUGCAAGUCGAACGAG